RNAcentral lists this transfer RNA (58 nucleotides) under Neotoma lepida (desert woodrat). It matches the Rfam family "tRNA", at positions 8 to 63 of the family's 71-position model. From Rfam's summary of the family: Transfer RNA (tRNA) molecules are approximately 80 nucleotides in length. Their secondary structure includes four short double-helical elements and three loops (D, anti-codon, and T loops). Lineage: Eukaryota; Metazoa; Chordata; Mammalia; Rodentia; Cricetidae. The record is from Rfam by way of RNAcentral.
UAGCUCAGUCAGUAGAGCAUGAGACUCCUAAUCUCAGAGUUGUGGGCCCAAGCCCCAC